RNAcentral lists this ribosomal RNA (839 nucleotides) under uncultured bacterium. RNAcentral describes it as "bacterial SSU rRNA". It matches the Rfam family "Bacterial small subunit ribosomal RNA", at positions 8 to 823 of the family's 1533-position model. The record is from RNAcentral.
AGAGUUGAUCCUGGCUCAGGACAAACGCUAACGGUGCGCCUAAUACAUGCAAGUCGAACGAGCGAUGUAGAAGUGGCAACACUUUUACAAAGCAAGUGGCGAACGGGUGAGUAACGCGUAGGUAAUCUGCCUUGGAGAUUGGGACAACCAUUCGAAAGAAUGGCUAAUACCAAAUACCUUAUAUUAAUCGCAUGAUUUUUAUAAUAAAGGGGGCUUUUAGCUCUCGCUUCAAGAUGAACCUGCGUCCUAUUAGCUAGUUGGUGAGGUAGAAGCUCACCAAGGCAACGAUGGGUAGCCGGCCUGAGAGGGUGAUCGGCCACACUGGGACUGAGAUACGGCCCAGACUCCUACGGGAGGCAGCAGUAGGGAAUCUUGCGCAAUGGGCGAAAGCCUGACGCAGCGACACCGUGUGAAGGAUGAAGGUCUUCGGAUCGUAAACUUCUGUCAAUUGGGGACGAAGGUAGGUAGAGUUAAUACUUCGAAUACUGACGGUACCCAAUAAGGAAGUCUCGGCUAACUCCGUGCCAGCAGCCGCGGUAAGACGGAGGAGGCAAGCGUUGUCCGGAAUCAUUGGGCGUAAAGAGCGCGUAGGCUGUUUUUCAAGUCAUAUGUGAAAACCUCAGGCUUAACUUGAGGACUGCAUAUGAAACUGGAAAACUUGAGUGCAGUAGGGGAAAGUGGAAUUCCUGGUGUAGCGGUGAAAUGCGCAGAUAUCAGAAGAACACCGGUAGCGAAGGCGGCUUUCUGGGCUGCUACUGACGCUGAGGCGCGAAAGCUAGGGGAGCAAACAGGAUUAGAUACCCUGGUAGUCCUAGCUGUAAACGAUGGACACUAGGUGU